This 253-nucleotide ribosomal RNA is filed under the name uncultured bacterium. Its description in RNAcentral is "partial 16S ribosomal RNA". It matches the Rfam family "Bacterial small subunit ribosomal RNA", at positions 524 to 776 of the family's 1533-position model. The record is from RNAcentral.
UACGGAGGGGGCUAGCGUUGUUCGGAAUUACUGGGCGUAAAGCGCACGUAGGCGGAUUGGAAAGUUGGGGGUGAAAUCCCGGGGCUCAACCCCGGAACUGCCUUCAAAACUCCCAGUCUGGAGGUCGAGAGAGGUGAGUGGAAUUCCGAGUGUAGAGGUGAAAUUCGUAGAUAUUAGGAAGAACACCAGUGGCGAAGGCGGCUCACUGGCCCGGUACUGACGCUGAGGCGCGAAAGCGUGGGGAGCAAACAGG